Non-coding RNA from Pelobates cultripes (western spadefoot toad), 249 nucleotides. NCBI's taxonomy places the organism in Eukaryota, Metazoa, Chordata, Amphibia, Anura, Pelobatidae. The record is from the annotation of a GenBank genome assembly.
AUCAUUGGAGGGAAGGAGGUGUACAUGUGCCUGUGUAUGGAGGCUGAUUGUGGUGAUGAAUGUGUGAGCGUUGGCUGCUUUUAAAGUUGCUGUUUUUUUGGAGGCAGCUUGUAGAGUUGUGUAAGUUGGGGGAGGCUUCUCAUAAGGCUGUGUGUGUGGAAGGGAUGCUUUUGUGAGGUUGUGUAUGUGUGUGUGGGGCUGUUUAUGUUGUAAUAUGUGUGUGCUUGUGAAUAAGACAUGCAUUAAUAG